This 450-nucleotide ribosomal RNA is filed under the name uncultured bacterium. RNAcentral describes it as "partial 16S ribosomal RNA". It matches the Rfam family "Bacterial small subunit ribosomal RNA", at positions 354 to 796 of the family's 1533-position model. The record is from RNAcentral.
GUGGGGAAUUUUGGACAAUGGGCGCAAGCCUGAUCCAGCAAUGCCGCGUGCAGGAAGAAGGCCUUCGGGUUGUAAACUGCUUUUGUACGGAACGAAACGGUCCGGGUUAAUACCCUGGGCUAAUGACGGUACCGUAAGAAUAAGCACCGGCUAACUACGUGCCAGCAGCCGCGGUAAUACGUAGGGUGCAAGCGUUAAUCGGAAUUACUGGGCGUAAAGCGUGCGCUGGCGGUUUUGUAAGACAGGCGUGAAAUCCCCGGGCUCAACCUGGGAAUUGCGCUUGUGACUGCAAGGCUGGAGUGCGGCAGAGGGGGAUGGAAUUCCGCGUGUAGCAGUGAAAUGCGUAGAUAUGCGGAGGAACACCGAUGGCGAAGGCAAUCCCCUGGGCCUGCACUGACGCUCAUGCACGAAAGCGUGGGGAGCAAACAGGAUUAGAAACCCUAGUAGUCC